RNAcentral lists this long non-coding RNA (229 nucleotides) under Mytilus galloprovincialis (Mediterranean mussel). Lineage: Eukaryota; Metazoa; Mollusca; Bivalvia; Mytilida; Mytilidae. The record is from RNAcentral.
GUGGGUAUCAAUUUUCGUGGUUUGAGCAAUAUUUACAUGUUCGUGGGUUUUUAAAUUCGUGGAUUUUAGUUUUCUAAAAAUUUACCUCUGGAUUAUAUACCUGGCAUCUUCAGAUCAUAUUAAACAAGCUUUUGUCCAAGUUUGCUAGAAAUCCAGGAAAGUUUACGAAAGUUAUCAAAAAUUUAAUCAUUGUUAAUUAGCUAUCAAAGGUACCAGGAUUAUAAUUUAG